AAAUGUUCACAUCUUAUUUGAAUUUCAGAAGUGACUUUUUAGCACAUUGAGUGCUUGGCAAGAUAGCUUGAAGUCUAUCCAACAGGAAUCACACCGACCCUCCCUUUGUGCCAGCUCCUUCUGUUAUGCCAGUACAAGGUGAUUCUGUGUUCCACUUUGGAGUGUCCAAUUAUUUUCUUACGUCUACUUCAUUGGCUUGCUACAGAGCAGGGGGCUUUAACAUCAGCAUCUCCAAAGUGGUCCCCUUCCUUGGGAGUUGAAUUGCAAUGUAAAUGGAAGGAGCCAGCUACUGUCUUAUUGGCCUUUGAUAAAGGAAACAGCUUGUUCAAGUCCAACCAUUUUGUUUGUUUGCAUGUUCUGCAACUGCACAGCUUGGACAAUAUCACCAGUUUAAUUUCAGCAGGCCCUGUGUCCCAGCAGCUCUUGCUAUCAGUUUUCUGGAUAUGGCAGAAAAAGAGCCCAGAUCUUAUUAGCACUGGAGCUAGGAAGUGGUGUUACCACGAGACAGAGGAGAUUACCAUGCUGUGCUGUAAACCUUGUCAUGAAAAUUCUGCAAAGGAGUAG
This 564-nucleotide long non-coding RNA is filed under the name Phasianus colchicus (ring-necked pheasant). Its description in RNAcentral is "lncRNA (ENSPCLG00000003625.1)". The record is from RNAcentral. Lineage: Eukaryota; Metazoa; Chordata; Aves; Galliformes; Phasianidae.